This is a small nucleolar RNA of Nannospalax galili (Upper Galilee mountains blind mole rat), 106 nucleotides long. The record is from Ensembl. Lineage: Eukaryota; Metazoa; Chordata; Mammalia; Rodentia; Spalacidae.
UGCAGCCAUGUCCAAUUCAGCCCAAAAGGCUGCCAUAGGAACACUGUAACUCAUGGCCCCUGAACCCCUUGCCUGGGCUCAGGGAUAAAUUUGAUCACAGACAUAA